This is a long non-coding RNA of Chelonia mydas (Green sea turtle), 528 nucleotides long. RefSeq lists it as uncharacterized. The transcript has 2 exons. The record is from RefSeq and is a predicted model, not a curated record. NCBI's taxonomy places the organism in Eukaryota, Metazoa, Chordata, Testudines, Cheloniidae.
GACCACACUCUCUAGCUCUGAUGGAGAGACCUGGCUGUAGAGACCUGAAUAGAGGAUCCAGUUUGGAGCAGGACUGGGGAAAGGCCAAGGGAGCCGAGGAGCUCCAGCCUAGGAAAGCUGCAGGCCUGGUGCUAUAUUGAGAAUUGACAAUGAAAAUAUGUCUGUCACUACUGUGAAUGUAAAACUGUCUCUACUGAAAAGUAUUCAAAAUUCUAUCACCUUCAAUGAGUAAACGAUGGAGUGGGUGUGUGCACAGACAGUUUCAGAAUUACCACUGCAAGAAAUAUGGGUCUCUUCUGCUCGGUUAUCACAGGACUGCUGUUUCCAUAUGCCUGAUGGGCACUGCCAAAGGGACCUGUGCUGCUCACUGCAUGCAACAUGGUCCAGCCAUGUGGGACCAGAACCUGCUCCAUAUGCAAAGUCUCUUGCAACCUGCCCUCUAUCCCCACAGUUCAGCUGUUUGCAGACAAUUGCUGGGGUGACUCCAGACAUCUGAUUGGAGCAAACACUGCCCCAUGUCCCAUUGUA